UCCUGGUUAACAGAAAAUGCCAGAUUGAUGUC
Molecule: non-coding RNA, 32 nt
Filed under: Homo sapiens (human)
Lineage: Eukaryota; Metazoa; Chordata; Mammalia; Primates; Hominidae
Source: RNAcentral